GUGGGUGAGGAGGGCAGUGAGUUACAGAACUCUUUGUCUAGUUAACCAAUGCCUCCAGAAUUUUAACAAGGGACAUUCCUGUUAGUCUUGAGGCUACACUUAGAAAGUGGAUGAGUCCCUGGAACUGGCCUGGAGAGUUUUAUUUCCAUCAGGCCUUCAUUUGAGUCACAAUAGGAGAGCUAGAGCCAAUAAGAUAAAUGCAGGUUAGCAAGUGACUUCUUUGAUUUAAUAUGGAAAAAUACAAAAUAAUGGGAACUAGGUCAAAACUGGCACAGAGGAUUAGGGCUUAAAUCGAGUCAGACUUCCCUCUCCCGAGGGAAGGGAAGAGGCUCUGGUUGUAACUAUCUACAAACCCCAACCUUUCGGCUUCAUGCCUGGUGUUAAUUAGGAGGCCAAAAAAACUGUGAUGAAUGUGCAGAGGACAAGAAGGAGAAGCGAAGAGGGCCAAAAAGGCUCUGGGAAGCUGAGAAUCUUGGAGGACAGAGAGGUUUGCAGAAGCAGGUCCUCAGGUUGGAGAAAAAAAUGGAGCCUGUUUCCUAGUCUCUGUGGAUGGCCAGGAAGUUGACAAGCAGGAGGAGAGAAAGAAAAAGGGCAACAAGCUGAAGGAUCCAGGAGAAGAUAGGCACAGACAUCCUAUCGUGCAGAUCUGCUGGGGUUUGGGUGCCAUGCCCAGGAUUUCCUCAGAAUAUAAAGGAAAUGACCAACACACCAACUUCGUCCUCCGUACAUAAGCUGUAUCCAGCUGCAUUAGAGGACUCCCCAACCACCCAAAGAUUUGGUUUGCAUGCGGUGUGAGCAUCCAGAUUAUACAGACUGCUCUCAGUGUGGUGAAGAGUAUUGGGUUCAGCAUCCUCACAGCAAAAGGAUACGAGUAGUGGCUCCCUGAAAGGAUCAUCAACCCAUGGCCAUGUUAUAUGCAGGGAAAUCGUAUUCCCAAAGAGGCAAAAUGUGGAACUCCACAAGGAAAGGACGAAUCUAAAUUUACUUUUUUGAAGAUUAGUUCUCAAAGUGUGGUCCUUGGAGACUUCUUUAACCACUUCCAUGGCUCCAUAGGCGAUAAUAUGCCUUCUUUUUACCUUCCACAGUGACAGAAGAAUAUUUUGUGGUCGUAUUUUCUGUCAAGACAGAGAAAUCAAUGGAAACUGCAGACUGGCUGUAAAAUGCUCUGGAACAACUGUUACAAAGAACCAAGAGAUCAAGGGAAGAAAACUGAGGAUACCAUAUAUUGCAAACCUUUUUUUUUUAAAGAUACGGAUGAAAUCUUUUUCAAGGACUAGAAUAAACCUGUCCCCUUAACAGUCAAUUUAUUUUAAUUAGUCCUCAAAUGGUCUUUCCUUCCCUUUCUUUUUCAGCUAUUAGUAUUAAUACUAUUCAGAAUGAAAUAAAGGCCUUUAAUAAUGACA
Molecule: long non-coding RNA, 1403 nt
Organism: Cavia porcellus (domestic guinea pig)
Lineage: Eukaryota; Metazoa; Chordata; Mammalia; Rodentia; Caviidae
Exons: 5
Source: RefSeq, a predicted model, not a curated record